RNAcentral lists this ribosomal RNA (484 nucleotides) under uncultured bacterium. RNAcentral's name for it is "partial 16S ribosomal RNA". It matches the Rfam family "Bacterial small subunit ribosomal RNA", at positions 30 to 507 of the family's 1533-position model. The record is from RNAcentral.
AUUGAACGCUGGCGGCAGGCCUAACACAUGCCAGUCGAGCGGAUGAAGGGAGCUUGCUCCUGGAUUCAGCGGCGGACGGGUGAGUAAUGCCUAGGAAUCUGCCUGGUAGUGGGGGAUAACGUCCGGAAACGGGCGCUAAUACCGCAUACGUCCUGAGGGAGAAAGUGGGGGAUCUUCGGACCUCACGCUAUCAGAUGAGCCUAGGUCGGAUUAGCUAGUUGGUGGGGUAAAGGCCUACCAAGGCGACGAUCCGUAACUGGUCUGAGAGGAUGAUCAGUCACACUGGAACCGAGACACGGUCCAGACUCCUACGGGAGGCAGCAGUGGGGAAUAUUGGACAAUGGGCGAAAGCCUGAUCCAGCCAUGCCGCGUGUGUGAAGAAGGUCUUCGGAUUGUAAAGCACUUUAAGUUGGGAGGAAGGGCAGUAAGUUAAUACCUUGCUGUUUUGACGUUACCAACAGAAUAAGCACCGGCUAACUUCGUG